Long non-coding RNA from Micropterus salmoides (largemouth bass), 1932 nucleotides. RefSeq lists it as uncharacterized. The record is from RefSeq and is a predicted model, not a curated record. NCBI's taxonomy places the organism in Eukaryota, Metazoa, Chordata, Actinopteri, Centrarchiformes, Centrarchidae. The transcript is spliced from 5 exons.
UGGCGAGGGGUCCUUCACCAUGUCUGUGGCGCGCAUGAAUGGGCCCUUGGUAAAUGUCAACAUCAGCCACUGGAUGCGGUGAGCAGUGCCAAAGACUGCAUGCUGUCUCGUUCUGCAGCAUAUGAGGCACUCUCUCAAAUCGUGCUCAACAGACGAUGGCUGAAGGAUGUGGAGAAGUUUCAUUUUGACAAAAAGUGUAAACAUUAUCGUGUCCACGCGGUGAAGGUUGCCAAAGACUACAGCAACAUCCCUCAGCUGCAGCAGGCUAGACAACCCACAGACUCUUGGUCUUCUUACUGGAGUUAAGCCUCCCCCAACAGCUGAACUGGCCCAGGCACAGAUCUGCAGAGGACAGACACCUUGCAUCUGCACACAACAUCCAGGAAUACCAUUCAGGCGAUGACAUCGAGGGUCACUGAAAAUCCAGGAGAAACAUGGAUUGGAGGCUCUAAUACAGAACAGGACCAAUAUUGGAUCUGGAGUGAGGGCACACCUUUCUUCUUUACUUGGUGUCGUGGAGAGCCUAUUAACCAUGGAGGUCGUCAGAAAUGUCUGCAAAUGAAUUAUUCAGGGUGGCUGUCACGUGCAGAUACAGAAGUGACCUCACGGUGGCGCUGCUGUCCUGCCAGCCUCUCUCACUCUGUGGUUCUGAGACAGAAACUCAGCCUCAGAUUCAGUCAUGAGCGUCUGUUUCUGUUUGUAAUCUGCACACACACACAUCCAAUGGACUGUGUGUGGACUUGUCAGGAAUCAUGUCAGUGUAACGAAUGAAAUGGUCUGCAGUCUCGAUACUUGACUCGAUGUGAGUGUGUGUUGUAUUAGUUUCACUUCCUCUCAGGUUCAGAGAUUGUUUUAUUGGUUUCUCUUUCUGUCCAGAUGUCUGUAGGGUUGUACUGUUAUAUUUCUUUUCUCUUGAUUAUUCAUCUGUCUUUUCUUUUGAAAACAUUUGUUUUCAGUAACAUGUAACUCAGCUUUAACAUCUGCAAGCUCAACAUUCAUGCCAAUUAAGCUUAUACAUAUUCACUACAUGUUAUAUUAAACUUACAACUUAUUAUAUAUUAUUCUGUAAUCCUACUACAUUUUAUAUGCAAUAUUGUUGUACUAUACUGCAUAUUUUCCAAUAGCUACAUUGGUGUUGAUUAUUGUGUGUGAUUAUUAUUAUAGUGUUUAUAUCUAUCUAUCUAUUUAUAUCUUAAGCAAAUGUGGGGGGGUUAUGUUAUCGGUCAUCGAUGAUUGCAGCUCUGAUUGUAUCGGCACAGUUAAAACACACAAACACGCAGGUGUCGUUUCGUGAGUGUUAAAGCUCACUGACUUAAAGGUCGGGAGCUUGUCAUGAAGAUAGAAGAUUAUGUAAAGAUUGUGUGUGUGUGUGUGUGUAGGAAAACUCCUCCAAAAGCUAUCAGCAGAUCAGAUUUAUCCAACAGCAGUGGUGGAAAAAUACUUUUACUCAAGUAAGUCCACUUUUGAGGGACUAGUACUUUACUUGUGUAUUUCCAUUUUGUGCUAAUAUAUUUCAAAGGGGUUUACUUUUGGCCCCAUCGUCAGGUCUGAGUUUUUCUCUUUCUAAUAUUUAUUGCUGCUCUUACUAGUAUCUGUUGUUACUCAUUGAUCUCUGACUUUACUGAUGCUUGUAUGUUGUUCCUCAAAUGUAAGUUGCUACGGACAGAAGUGUCUGACCAACUGAGUAAAUGUAAGUUUGCUUUAUUUUUGGCAUAGCAUCACCCAGAGAGGGAAAAUGCACCAGCUGCCAUUGAUUUAAAGUAGCUCCUCUAACUGGUACCUGCAUGUUGAUUUAUCAGUAUUAAUAAUGCAAUAAUCUAAAAUAUAAUAAUGAAGCCAAUUAUCCGUAGAAGAAGUACUUUUACUGUUGAUACUUCUGGUACAUUUUGAUUAUAAUACUUCUGUGCUUUUAAUUAAAGUAAGAUAUUAAAU